Molecule: ribosomal RNA, 23 nt
Filed under: uncultured Tomentella
Lineage: Eukaryota; Fungi; Basidiomycota; Agaricomycetes; Thelephorales; Thelephoraceae
Description: partial 28S ribosomal RNA
Source: RNAcentral
UGUCUCAAAUCAGGUAGAUACCU